Molecule: ribosomal RNA, 468 nt
Filed under: uncultured bacterium
Lineage: Bacteria
Description: partial 16S ribosomal RNA
Rfam family: Bacterial small subunit ribosomal RNA
Source: RNAcentral
GACGAACGCUGGCGGCGUGCUUAACACAUGCAAGUCGAACGGAAAGGCCCUGCUUUUGUGGGGUGCUCGAGUGGCGAACGGGUGAGUAACACGUGAGUAACCUGCCCUUGACUUUGGGAUAACUUCAGGAAACUGGGGCUAAUACCGGAUAGGAGCUCCUGCUGCAUGGUGGGGGUUGGAAAGUUUCGGCGGUUGGGGAUGGACUCGCGGCUUAUCAGCUUGUUGGUGGGGUAGUGGCUUACCAAGGCUUUGACGGGUAGCCGGCCUGAGAGGGUGACCGGCCACAUUGGGACUGAGAUACGACCCAGACUCCUACGGGAGGCAGCAGUGGGGAAUAUUGCACAAUGGGCGGAAGCCUGAUGCAGCAACGCCGCGUGCGGGAUGACGGCCUUCGGGUUGUAAACCGCUUUCGCCUGUGACGAAGCAUGAGUGACGGUAAUGGGUAAAGAAGCACCGGCUAACUACGUG